RNAcentral lists this ribosomal RNA (411 nucleotides) under uncultured bacterium. RNAcentral describes it as "bacterial SSU rRNA". It matches the Rfam family "Bacterial small subunit ribosomal RNA", at positions 505 to 916 of the family's 1533-position model. The record is from RNAcentral.
GUGUCAGCCGCCGCGGUAAUACGAAGGGGGCUAGCGUUGCUCGGAAUUACUGGGCGUAAAGGGAGCGUAGGCGGACUGUUUAGUCAGAGGUGAAAGCCCAGGGCUCAACCUUGGAAUUGCCUUUGAUACUGGCAGUCUUGAGUACGGAAGAGGUAUGUGGAACUCCGAGUGUAGAGGUGAAAUUCGUAGAUAUUCUGAAGAACACCAGUGGCGAAGGCGACAUACUGGUCCGUUACUGACGCUGAGGCUCGAAAGCGUGGGGAGCAAACAGGAUUAGAUACCCUGGUAGUCCACGCCGUAAACGAUGAGUGCUAGUUGUCGGCAUGCAUGCAUGUCGGUGACGCAGCUAACGCAUUAAGCACUCCGCCUGGGGAGUACGGUCGCAAGAUUAAAACUUAAAGGAAUUGACGG